RNAcentral lists this transfer RNA (74 nucleotides) under Amphiprion ocellaris (clown anemonefish). RNAcentral's name for it is "tRNA-Val". It matches the Rfam family "tRNA". Rfam says of the family: Transfer RNA (tRNA) molecules are approximately 80 nucleotides in length. The record is from RNAcentral. Lineage: Eukaryota; Metazoa; Chordata; Actinopteri; Pomacentridae.
UCAGAGUGUAGCUUAUACAGAAAAGUAUCUCCCUUACACUGAGAAGUCGCCCGUGCAAAUCGAGCCACCCUGAU